CCUCGGUGAGUUAAAAGAAAAAAAUGGUUCGCGAUGCAGAUCGAGCGGCGGCGCUCCGAUGGGACCGGGAGCAGGAAGACGGCGGCGAGCACAUAAAAGGCGCGGGCGGCACACUGCCCGGCCGAGAGGAGGAGCAGGAGGGGAGGCGCUGAGGCGGGGCCAUAAGCGUCGGACGCGCUCGCUCGCCCGCAAUCAACGCGGACGCAGCGGCCAUCCAUGGCGGCUCGGGUCGAUGCAGGAGGACGAGGGGAGGAGCUCGUGAGGGCCGGCACCGGUAAUGGAGCGGAGGCGGGUGGAUCUGGCGAUUCCGCAGGGGCUGCGGCGACGAGCGGCUCCGUGUGCGGCGACCUGCGGGGUUCAAGCGACGGCUGCCAUGAAGGUUGGGCGGCGGCUCUCUUGUAGAGAAGGAAUAGAAGGAGAGGAAGAAGGAAUAGAAGGAGAGGAAGAAGGAAUAGAAGGAGAGGAAGAAGGCAGGUCACUCAAAGAGCAUUCAUCUCCUGCCCCCUCUCUCCUCUGGCAUGGCAUGAUGUGCGCGGCUGGAUGUGUGAUGUGCGUCCAUGUUCAUGUGAUCUUCAAGACAGCAGGGACCAAUUGCACCCUUGCUUUUGUUUCUGUCCUGUGAACCAGUCUAAGAUGGCCUCUAAGAAGCACUUGGCUGGUACAGAGAAAUUUUCUGUAGUCUUCAAAUAAAACAUCCUAAUCUUCUAUGAUGUGGUUUUUCGAGCAGGAAGGGGAGGUGAUGUGCGCCAGGUACGUGGUCGAGGAAGUGAACACCAGUUUCAGCUAUGUAGUGUUCUGUGGUGAAUGAGAAUGUUUCAUAGUUUAUUAUAUUAAUCUAAAUUUUGGUUUUACGUUUUUGCUUCACAGAUAUUUUUGAGUAACUUUUUUCCAAACUAUGUACUAUACAUGUGGAUUUUUUUUUGCGGGGAUACUGCAUGUCCACUUCUGAGUACAAAUUCUAAAUUCGUAUAUGAAACCUUAAUUCAACUCCUACCAUACAAAACUAAUUUUGUGGUUCAGUUGUUUAAGAGCUCAAAUAGGAUGUGUACUGGAACCUCAAGGAAAAUGAAAAGAAGAGUAGGAGCAGGAGCUGGAGACGCAGCCGCACAAGGUCGAACCGGCCACAUAGAUCCUUUUAUUCUGCAACUAUGACAACUCUGGCAAGACCUUUGUUGAUGUGGCUGCCUUGAGGAAGCAUGCUCAUGUACAUGGCGAGAGGGGAUGUAUGUUUUUCAGUAGCCCGGCUAUUGGAAGUAAUUCCAGGCUUUUUAUAAAGGACCUUUCUCUGUUUGGCAUAGAUUAAUGAUUUUGGUACAUCCAUCCAUCCAAUCCAGAUGCCGCUGAUGAACAAAUAGUGAUCCAGUUUGGUCGGGUUAGAUAUAAGUUUGGUCUCCGCUCGAGCUCCUGUUGUUGCUUGGAUUUUCCUUUUCCCCUCUCAUCCAACCGCAGGGGCCUGUUAUUUUUUUCAUCUAGAUGAUGUCGUGGUCGCCCGGCCGAUCAAAUCCUCGCGCACACACAACAACUCAACUCCACGGUCUGCACGCAGCAGCUCAACACCACGAAUGCCUAAAGUUGAAGCUCACAUGCUGGAGUGUUUAUGCACAUCUGAAGUUGGCACAUUCAGUUCUGCAUAUAUCGAACAGCCUUCAAAACUUCUGAAAGCAUAGAGCUGGAGAACCAUCCUCUAGACUCUCCUGUAUCCCCACAGAUUAUUUUGCUUCCAAACUUCUGAUAAACACAGCAGCUUCCAAUGCAAUUUCACUUGCCAGAUGUUGUUAUUCAGGAGGAGGAUUUCCGUAGUAUCCCUGGGCUGGAAUAGAAUUCCUUGAUUUGACGUCAAGCAUUGGCAACUGCAGAAUACAUUGUCUCGAGGUACAAUCACACGUGAUUCUCAAACAAUCAUUGAUUCAUGAAUUGCAGCAGGGUGAACCCAAGAUGUCCGGAGCCUCUCUUGUGAAUCACAUUGCUUACAAUGAUUUCAUGAUUGAGGUCUCACAUAUGAGUUAUGGUAUUUCUAUCCUUAAAAGUAUGUAAUAAAUCCACAAUUCAGUUUGAGUUAUGCACUUUGCUUUUUUAAUCAGGAUUAUACGAUUAUUAAAGCACAUACAUCGAAGUUUUAAUAUAGGCAGGUUGCGUGCACACGCACCUCUUUGCCCAGGUGUACUUGAUGACACAUAUGCCCUUUGUAUGGCUGGUAAACAGAAGGUGGUCACGUUGCUGCAUUUGAUUGUUGCGUACAAGGAUGAGACUGAGUAUAAUGUGCUUGCACAUGCCAUCAACUCACUACUCUUCCUAUUCUAAUUAAUUUUUGUUGUUCCUAAACUUGAUCUUGUUCUAAUGAUCAUUUAUCAUGCAGUCUCUUCUAGCUUUUCAGAAAUCCGUCCCUUGCAAGUGAGGUGGCUGGGAUGCCAAGAGUGGGGAGGGUCACCUGAAUACACUGUUAAGAGGUGUAAAGGAAGUGAAGUGUGAACCCAGUGUUUCUUUUGACUACUCCAAGUCUGAAAUGAAUUCCAUGAGGAGGAAAAGGCUGAAUUGAGUGCUUGAAAUAAAGGAGGAGCAUCCUAAGAAGCAGUCAGGUUGGAGAAAAAGAUCAGAGUUUCAUCUGUUGUGAAAGUGGAAGGUAAUUAGACGUCAGAAGAUUACAAGGAAAGAUAAAGCGGAUAAAUUUACACGGAAUCAUACCACAUGAGCUCACAUCACGGCCGUUGUCCCACGACACAGUUUCUUGCCAACCAUGAUUCAUAGGAUAGGAAGUGGUGCUCUCUCCCGGUGCAACGCACGGGCAUUUGUGCUAGUAUCACAAAACAACUGAGAACAGACAAACAGGCAAUUGUAACAUUGUAUGGGCAAGUCCAGCACGGAACUAGAUUACAGGUCAAAAUCAAAGGAACAUCACUUCUCUCUUUUAAACCUUAUAAGGUGCAAUGAUACGCUAAGACAAUUGUGUAUAAAAUUGAAAAGAGUAAUAGACAUUGGCUGCAAACCAUGCAGUUCAAGGCUCAAGUCAGAAUAAGUAGUAGUUAAUAGGCAUGAGGAUUAAA
Non-coding RNA from Aegilops tauschii subsp. strangulata, 3041 nucleotides. The record is from RefSeq and is a predicted model, not a curated record. NCBI's taxonomy places the organism in Eukaryota, Viridiplantae, Streptophyta, Magnoliopsida, Poales, Poaceae.